CUGGGUACUACUAGCGCAACGUUAAAACCCAAAGGACUUGGCGGUGCUUCAGACCCCCCUGAGGAGCCUGUUCUAGACCGUGUCCCCGUUCAACCUCACCAUUUCUUGUUUUCCCCGCCUAUAUACCGCCGUCGUCAGCUUACCCUUUGAAGGCCUCAUAGUAAAAUUAGUAAAACUCAAGACGUCAGGUCGAGGCUGUACGUAUGANNNUGGGAAGAAAAGGGCUACAUUCUCUAUGGUAGAGUAAAACGAAAGAUGCAAUGAAAUGNNCAGAACAACCGCCA
Molecule: ribosomal RNA, 284 nt
Filed under: Latropiscis purpurissatus
Lineage: Eukaryota; Metazoa; Chordata; Actinopteri; Aulopiformes; Aulopidae
Description: partial 12S ribosomal RNA
Source: RNAcentral